GACGAACGCUGGCGGCGUGCUUAACACAUGCAAGUCGAACGGAAAGACCCUGCUUUUGUGGGGUGCUCGAGUGGCGAACGGGUGAGUAACACGUGAGUAACCUGCCCUUGACUUUGGGAUAACUUCAGGAAACUGGGGCUAAUACCGGAUAGGAGCUCCUGCUGCAUGGUGGGGGUUGGAAAGUUUCGGCGGUUGGGGAUGGACUCGCGGCUUAUCAGCUUGUUGGUGGGGUAGUGGCUUACCAAGGCUUUGACGGGUAGCCGGCCUGAGAGGGUGACCGGCCACAUUGGGACUGAGAUACGGCCCAGACUCCUACGGGAGGCAGCAGUGGGGAAUAUUGCACAAUGGGCGGAAGCCUGAUGCAGCAACGCCGCGUGCGGGAUGACGGCCUUCGGGUUGUAAACCGCUUUCGCCUGUGACGAAGCGUGAGUGACGGUAAUGGGUAAAAAAGCACCGGCUAACUACGUG
Molecule: ribosomal RNA, 468 nt
Filed under: uncultured bacterium
Lineage: Bacteria
Description: partial 16S ribosomal RNA
Rfam family: Bacterial small subunit ribosomal RNA
Source: RNAcentral